Molecule: ribosomal RNA, 439 nt
Filed under: Rubneribacter badeniensis
Lineage: Bacteria; Bacillati; Actinomycetota; Coriobacteriia; Eggerthellales; Eggerthellaceae
Description: bacterial SSU rRNA
Rfam family: Bacterial small subunit ribosomal RNA
Source: RNAcentral
CCUACGGGAGGCAGCAGUGGGGAAUUUUGCGCAAUGGGGGCAACCCUGACGCAGCAACGCCGCGUGCGGGACGAAGGCCUUCGGGUCGUAAACCGCUUUCAGCAGGGAAGACAUUGACGGUACCUGCAGAAGAAGCCCCGGCUAACUACGUGCCAGCAGCCGCGGUAAUACGUAGGGGGCGAGCGUUAUCCGGAAUCAUUGGGCGUAAAGGGCGCGUAGGCGGCCCCUCAAGCGGGAUCUCUAAUCCGAGGGCUCAACCCCCGGCCGGAUCCCGAACUGGGGGGCUCGGGUGCGGUAGAGGAGGAUGGAAUUCCCGGUGUAGCGGUGGAAUGCGCAGAUAUCGGGAAGAACACCGAUGGCGAAGGCAGUCCUCUGGGCCGCCACCGACGCUGAGGCGCGAAAGCCGGGGGAGCGAACAGGAUUAGAUACCCUGGUAGUC